This 3677-nucleotide long non-coding RNA is filed under the name Homo sapiens (human). RNAcentral's name for it is "non-protein coding lnc-TMEM132C-6:6". The record is from RNAcentral. Lineage: Eukaryota; Metazoa; Chordata; Mammalia; Primates; Hominidae.
ACAAAUGGAAGGAAUGACACAGCCGGCUGCUUAUGUUAUCAUCAUUUCCCUGUCCCUUGCCUUUCCAGCAGAGUCAACUUUGAGCCCUGUUGCAAUGGUUCUUCUUCUAAGAAAAUGAUGACACCCGGCUUUGUAAAAGAAUUCUUUGCUCCCUGGAAUGUGAUGUACUGGAACAAGAUGCAUUUCCACGUCUGUAACAAAACAAAGAAAAACAAAAACACUUUUAGAGACUGUAAAAUAAUAAAAUUAUCAACUGCAACACCUCAGGGACGGCCCAGAUGCUCCUAUGGCCACGCACCUGCAGCAGGGACCUUCUCCCAGGUCGCCCCUACCGCCUGCCCAACUCGACCCCCGUCGUCUGCGCCUGCGCCCAGGCGCCUCUCACGCACCCCGGGCCCCCACCACCCUUUCCUGAGAACGUGAGCUUCGCCGUCUGCGCCUGCGCAAGGGAGCCCACCCGCUUCGCCGGAACUACCGCGGCACGAAGCCCCGCCCCCGCCCUCCUAGCCGUGGUCGCAGCCGUGUGCGCCUGCGCGCGGGAUCCUCGCCGGCCUCGCUCUCUGCGCGGUCGGCGGCGCUGCAGGCGAGCACAGGACGAUGACGAAGAGGACGGGGCUGCUGAGCGAUCCCCAGCACCCAAGGACCUGGAGCCCCAGGUCGCAGCCUCAGGACCCGGAGGAUGUGCCCAGCACCUCCAGGAGACGCGCGGACGAGGUCGUCGCCCCGCGGCUCGCCAAUCAGGCGUAGUGUGGAGACAGGGCGGGGAGUACGCUGGCGGCCGUGUAGACCCGCAGCACGACACGGUGGACUCAGCCCGGGAGGGAGUCUAGCUGCGGGCCAUGUCCAGCGUGGAUUCCAGAACCCGCCGCCUAGAGUCGCGGGGCGUCCUGAGGGAGAACUGGCCCCUAGUGGGAGUUGGGCGCGUCCCUGGAACCUCCCCUCCUCGAGGGCUGGGAGUUAGCGGGAAGAAGAAGAGGCCGCGGGCACCAUGAUUCAGACCCGGAAACUACGCCUCCAGGCAUGGCUAGGAGAAAUGGGCUUCGGAGACCAUGGCCACCCCUCUCCCUGCCUAGGAGCACGCCUGCCCCAGCACCCGGGCCUGAACGCAGCGAGAGCUCCAGAGCCUGCGAGUCCCAGAGGUCAGGAUCCGUUCCUUCUGAGGUGUCCCUAGGAGCUCCCUGAACCUCAAGCCAAAGGCCAGGCUACGGUGGUCAAGUCCCCCAAGUAGGGGGUCUUUUAAAAUACUUGGGUGGCUGGGACGGUGGCUCAAGCCUGUAAUCCCAGCACUUUGGGAGGCCGAGGCGGGUGGAUUGCUUGAGCUCAAGAAUUCAAGACCAACGUGGGCAGCAUAGCAAGACUCCCUACAAAAAAAAUAAUAAUAAGAUUUUAUAUAUAUAUAUAUAUAUAUAUAUAUAUGUACACACACAAACACGUACACAAAAAAUAGCCGGGCAUGGGGCUGCAGGCCUGUAGUACCAGUUACUGGGGAGGUUGAGAUGGGAGGAUUGAUUGAGCCUAAGAAGUGGAGGCUACAGUGAGCCAAGAUUGCAUCACUGCAUGCCAGCCUGGGCAACAGAGCAAGACCCUGUCUCAAGGGAGGAAAAAAUAAAAAAAUAAAUAAAAAUUUAAAAAAAGAACACUUGAAGUUACUCAGAUCAGGACUCAUGCAGAGAAAAGCCAACAGGAGCAACACCCCACAUUAGGGGAGGAAGACACCUGGGGAUUCACUGACUUCAGUUGUGUGAAUUUUACCCUAUGACCUUGCUUGCUUUAUGAGACAGCAGAGGUGGCCAAGGUCAAUCCUACUGCUCUGUGGUGAACUCUGCUUUUCUCUCGUUACCAUAGGUAAAGGGUCAUGCUCCUAUGUAAGCCUUCCUGUUCCCCAGUCAUUUGUGCACGGGGUAGGCCAUCAUCUCCUGCCUAUUCAAGGGAAUGACUAGUCCUGUCUUCUGUAUCCUCAGUCACCAACUUCUCAGUUAGUGUUGGACCAAGCCUAUGUUCAAAACAUGACUGAGACAGACCUCAAUCCAUAGAGAUUUAUUUAGCCAAGGUCCAAGGACACAUCUAGGAAAAAAUACGGGAUCACAGGAGCAUCUGCGCCUUCUACUUUUUCCAAAGAGGGUUUUGGGAACUUCAGUAUUUAAAGGGGAAACAGCAAGCAGGUGAGGAAAAAAAGCGAGGAAGUGUAGGCAAUGACAGAUGCUCACAUUCUUGUGAAACUCUGUUUACCCUAGUAAAUCUGCAUUUUACAUGUGAAAAGAGGGAGUAAAGGAAAUAGUCAAUAAUGCAUUCCUCUCAGGAUAGGCCCACGUGGAUUUUUAAUCUUGUCCUUGCCCUGUGAAGAUAAGCUGGUAACUGACAUUGUCAGGGUGAGAUUCAGCAGAACUCAGUUUUAGGACUAACUUACAGAGGAGCUGUGUAUCCUGAAGAUUCAGCGACUGGCAAGGAAUUUCCUUGGGAGCAAUGUGUGAGGGAGGCCAUCUGAGGAGAUCUGUGGCUUUCUUUUGUUGUGGGAAUCUGGCUUAUGGAUGAAUCUACGACACAGGAUUGUGAAAUUACAGCUCUUUGGGAACAAAAGGAAGGCAGUAUUGCAUGACUUAGUUUCCCAGCUUCACUUUCCCUUUGGCAUGGUGAGUUUGGGGUCUUGAGAGUCUAUUUUCUUUCACACCCAUCAGCACUGUUAAGUAAGCAGGAAGACAACCUGAGGUUGUCUCUUUACUUUGAGUUCCUACAUAAUAAAUUGCAGCCUAAUUUAGUACAUAAACCCAAACCUAAUUUAGGAGUAAAUUUUUUGUAGCAGAUAGCCAGAUUUCAGCCAAUCACAGGCUUCCAGCUAACAAGACUAUGCCCAAAUAAGGCAAAUGCCUCAUCACAUGAUGCUCAAAUAAGGCAGCCACCUAGGCGAGGCCAAUCAGGUAACUUUUCUACUUUGCUUAAUUGUUCAGCCUGUACAAAUUUGCUGCUUAUGACUGCUGAGCAGAGCUGUCUAAACCUCUUCUGGUUUGGAGUGCUGCCUUAUAUAUGAAUUGUUCUUUGGUCACAUAAAAUUGGUUAAAUUUAACUUCUCUAAAGUUUUGUAUUAAAUUGUAUGUAAAACAUUGGUAGCACAAUUUGGAUUCAGAUACCCAAAUAUUGACUAUGAUAAUGUAAAUAAUCCUUAAGCAGACUGAUUUACAAAGGCCUGAACAAGUUUGAUAUUCUGAAUAUUCACUUCUUCUGAUGAAAAAAUUGCCAAGACCUUACAAUUGGCAGGAAAAAAAAUGUGUGUUGGUUAAAUAAGUUAUGUUAACAACAAGAACAUUACCACAAUUAGAAAACUCUUACUAUGCCAGGCACUAUUAUAAACACACCUUUGUACCUUUUUUAAUCCUGAAAAAUUUCUAAUAAAUAUGCAUUUAAUAUUAUUUGUAUUUAAUAUUAAGUGUAUUUAAUAUUGCCCCUGUUUUGUGAAUUAAUGCAGCAAUAAACUGGCUUGCAAUGGUGAUGUAUUCUAUAAGGCAGCCAUUGUUGUCAUAAUGCUACAUAACACUACCCGAAUCUCAGUUGCUUAUAAUUCAAGUACUUAUUUUUCUUGUCCAUAAUCUGUGAAUCCUGCUGAAAUCAGCUAGACUUUGCUCCAGGAUGAGGGAUUGGUCCAAUUCUGUUCCAUCUUUCCACGCAUCUUUCAUCAGGUUAUU